RNAcentral lists this ribosomal RNA (471 nucleotides) under uncultured bacterium. Its description in RNAcentral is "bacterial SSU rRNA". It matches the Rfam family "Bacterial small subunit ribosomal RNA", at positions 329 to 793 of the family's 1533-position model. The record is from RNAcentral.
GCAGUGCAUCCUACGGGAGGCAGCAGUGGGGAAUAUUGCACAAUGGGCGCAAGCCUGAUGCAGCCAUGCCGCGUGUAUGAAGAAGGCCUUCGGGUUGUAAAGUACUUUCAGCAGUGAGGAAGGUGGGUAUGUUAAUAGCAUACUCAUUUGACGUUAGCUGCAGAAGAAGCACCGGCUAACUCCGUGCCAGCAGCCGCGGUAAUACGGAGGGUGCGAGCGUUAAUCGGAAUUACUGGGCGUAAAGCGCAUGCAGGUGGUUUGUUAAGUCAGAUGUGAAAGCCCGGGGCUCAACCUCGGAAUUGCAUUUGAAACUGGCAAACUAGAGUACUGUAGAGGGGGUAGAAUUUCAGGUGUAGCGGUGAAAUGCGUAGAGAUCUGAAGGAAUACCGGUGGCGAAGGCGGCCCCCUGGACAGAUACUGACACUCAGAUGCGAAAGCGUGGGGAGCAAACAGGAUUAGAUACCCUGGUAG